Molecule: long non-coding RNA, 1367 nt
Filed under: Marmota monax (woodchuck)
Lineage: Eukaryota; Metazoa; Chordata; Mammalia; Rodentia; Sciuridae
Source: RNAcentral
UGCCCAUCUCUUCUCAAUAAGGCACAGAGUGAGGUAGAGGGUAGCCAGCCAGGUCUCCUGUGGCCCUUUCACUCUUCCUCUCUGCAGGAAUAAUGGGCAAAGAGCAGCUUUGGUGCUGUGAAGACACCUGGCAACUCCAGCCCUGCCCUAAGCCAUAGAGGUGGUGGGAGUUUUCGGGGGGAAAAUCUGGGAGCAACAAGGCUCUUUACUUUUCCCCAUCCCCUCCCCACCAGGGUGUUCUGUGCUCACACUUCAGUCUGUGAAUGUGCUGCGCAAGUAUCUCUUCCUCCUGGACCUGCUCUGGUCUCUGCUGCAUACUCAGGACAUCCUCUUCAUGCUCACCAGCGAAGAAGUGGCACAGGCAAAGGUGAGGAUUACAAAUUCCUGGACACCUUAGUCAGAUCUGGGCCAGGCCUCUUGGCUUCUCAAAAUUCUGCUCUGCAGAGGCAAUUCCCAUAGUCCUUUCACAGCGGCUUAGCAUCUCCCCCUGAGUUUUACUACUAAGCCAGCUAGACCCUGGCAGGCAGAAAUUUUCAAUGACUUUGAACUUUUUUCCUGAUUACAAUAAAACAACAAAGAACCUAAAUUACAUAUACUCCUUAUAGAGAAUCAAGAAAAUAAAAGUAAGAAAUAAAAAUUAUCCACAGUCCCACCACUCAGAAGUAAUCAUCAUUAACAUGUUGGGCUACAUGCUACUAUUAUAUAAUGGGAUCACACUUUGUUUACUGUUUAAAAUCUGCUUUCUUGGGCUGGGGAUGUGGCUCAAGUGGUAGCGCGCUCGCCUGGCCUGCGUGCGGCCCGGGUUCGAUCCUCAGCACCACAUACAAACAAAGAUGUUGUGUCCGCCGAAAACUAAAAAAAUAAAAUAAAUAUUAAAAAAAAAUAAAUAAAAUCUGCUUUCUUUAACAAAAUAUUAUGAAUAUUUUCUCCUAAGUCACUAAGUGUUCCAACUAUAAUGCCUGCCUAUAAUUCGUUUGUAUGGAUAUACCAUAAAUAUGUCAUGAAUUCCUGAUCAUUAGAUAUUUCAGAUUUUCCAGUUUUCCAGUGCUCCUAGCUUGAGUCUAAAAGGAAUUCAGACCUGCCAGGAUCCUCUGUAAAGAGCCAGUGGGGCAGACAGCCGAAAGCCCAUUUGCGAACUGAGGAAGAACCAGACCCACCCAUGCCCUCCUAGUGAAAGUUUAGCUGUCAGUGGGGCAGGUGAUUGUCAGAAUCAUUAGAGAUGAGGAGAUGAGACGAGCUCCAAUUUGUCUCCAGGUGCAAUCUGUAGAAGACUUAAGUCCACCUCAGAGACACAGGUAGCCUUAUUUUCUCAAUAAGCAUUUAUUCCUACUAAAAGGCACUUUGCUAGAUGCUUAGAAUGUAUGUUG